AUGCAAGAAAAACAGAAAGAUGAAAAGGAAAACAACAUGGAUAGAGUUUCAAGUGAAAAUUUAUAUAAUAGCAGUCCUAACCGUGAUUGUGGUAGUACUGGUGGUAAUAGUGUCGAUACUAUUGGUGGUACUAGCGAUGGUAAUAAUAAAAAGGUUCAUUACACAAGUAGUAAUUGUAGUAAUAGUAGUAAAACUAGCAGCCGUAUUAGUAUUAAACCAAUUGGUAAAAAUAAUAUGAAUAGUGGUAGCAGUUGUCAUAGUAACAUUAGUAAUAGAUACAGUUAUAGCUAUAGCGAUAAAAAUAGUAAUAAUACAAAAAAGAACAGUGAUAAAAGUUUAGAUCCAUAUAAAGAUUUUGUUAUAGAAAAUUAUAACUCCCUUGAACAUUAUACAAUAUUACUUGAUGAUAACUUUAACGAUUUUAUUCAAUCAAAAGUAAUAAAUUUAAAAUAUGAUGAUUAUAAAUAUUUAAUAGACGCAUUAAAUGUUGAUACUGAUUUUUUAGUUAAUCAAGAUAUUAUGGAUUAUUCAUUACUUAUACAUAUUGACAUUCACAAUAAUGUAAUUAUAUUUAAAAUUAUUGAUUAUUUACGACCAUACACUUGGGAUAAAUCGGUAGAAACUUUUGGUAAAAGUGUUUUUUAUUUAACAAAAGGAUAUAAACCUACUAUUAUUCAAUCAGAAUAUUAUAGAAAAAGGUUUUUAAAUAAUAUAAGAAAAUUCUUUUUUUUUUAUAUACCUAUAUAUUCUUUAAAAAAAAAAAAUGUUUUUAGCAUAACAGAAAAGACAAACCAACACGAAUUUUCAAUAGUUAAACUAAACAAAUACCACCCAUUUAAAAAAUAUUUUUCAUAUGCUCUUUUUAAUAUUAUUUUAAAAAAUUAUACCUAUUUUUAUGUAUAUAUGAAAUAUUUUAAUAGGCAUGGGGAGGUAAUGAACUCAGAUGCAACAAAUGUGAUUAUCAACAAAAACGAAACAAAUGCAUACGAUCAAAAAAAUCUUCUUAUUUUUUUUAACUGUUUUUUGAAAGAGUUAUAUAUGAAAAUUAUACAUGACCGAUACGGAGAAAACUAUUUAGAAAGUGAGCAUGAUUUGUUUAGUUUAGAUAACAUAAAUAAAAAGACUUGUUUUAAAUAUACAACAGAUUUGGGUGUGCGUAAACAUAGGGGUAUAAUAAUGGAUGAUAAGGGUGUCAGUAUUAAAGAUAGUGUGAGUAGUAGCCAAGGUAGUAGCAGUAGUAACUACAGUUCCAGUAGUAGAUACAGUAGUAGUGAUGAUGAUAAACCAUUUAAAGGCAUAAUAAAAGUUAAAAAUGAAAAGAACAAAAUGAAUAGUAACAAAAUGAAUAGUAACAGUAGUAUAUUAAAUAACAAAAUGUGUAACGAAGAAUAUUAUUGGCAUUAUGAAUUUAAACACAACCCGUUUUUUCUUUCUAAUGUGUCAAAUAAAUAUGUUAUGACAAACUUUGUUAAAACCGGUGACCAUAAAACAUGUGCUACUAAUGAUAUGUAUGAUAGUAGUCGUAACAGUGGUAGCAGUAUUAUAUGCAACAUAACUCCAGAAAUAGAAAAACAAAUGACACAUUUUUUGUAUAAUUUCCAUACAUAUAUAGUUAAUAAGUUGAAUAUAUUAAACUGUGCAUAUAAUAACAAUAGUAAAAGUAUUCCCAAAAAGGUCCCAAACUGUUUUAUAUCAUAUAAUACUUUAAAUCAGACAGAAUUUAAAAAAAUAAAAAAUAAAUUUUAUAAAAAAAUAUCACAUGUUCAAUUAAAAAUUAUUAAAAAAUUACAAAAAAAAAAAUAUCAUAUAGAAAACUUUACAAAUUAUAUUAAAAACAAUUUAUAUAUUGAAAUGAGUGACGUUAAUAUGCAUUAUACUAAUCUAAACUAUUUGGACUUACUAAACAUUUUUAAUAUAUGUGAAAACAAUGAUAAUAAUAAUAAUAAUAUUAAUAAAUGUAGUAAAAGUAGUAAACGUGGUAAAAGUGGUAAAAGUAGUAAAAGUGGUAAAAGUAGUAAAAGUAGUAAAAGUAAAAGAAGACAAAAAAAGCGAAAAAAAGAAGAGCACGUGAUUUUAUAUAUACCGUCAUAUUUUUUAUUUUGCUUAAAUAGAACAUAG
This is a long non-coding RNA of Piliocolobus tephrosceles (Ugandan red Colobus), 2118 nucleotides long. The record is from Ensembl. NCBI's taxonomy places the organism in Eukaryota, Metazoa, Chordata, Mammalia, Primates, Cercopithecidae.